GACGAACGCUGGCGGCGUGCUUAACACAUGCAAGUCGAACGGUGAAGGGACUGGUUUUGCUGGUCCUGGAUGAGUGGCGAACGGGUGAGUAACACGUGAGUAACCUGCCCCCUUCUUCUGGAUAACCGCAUGAAAGUGUGGCUAAUACGGGAUAUUCUGGGUCUGUCGCAUGGUGGCCUGGGAAAGAUUGCGCCUUUUUUGGUGUUUUUGGUGGGGGAUGGGCUCGCGGCCUAUCAGCUUGUUGGUGGGGUGGUGGCCUACCAAGGCGGUGACGGGUAGCCGGCCUGAGAGGGUGGACGGUCACACUGGGACUGAGACACGGCCCAGACUCCGACGGGAGGCAGCAGUGGGGAAUAUUGCACAAUGGGCGCAAGCCUGAUGCAGCGACGCCGCGUGAGGGAUGGAGGCCUUCGGGUUGUGAACCUCUUUCGCCAGUGAAGCAGGCCUGCCUCUUUUUGUGGGUGGGUUGACGGUAGCUGGAUAAGAAGCGCCGGCUAACUACGUG
This 505-nucleotide ribosomal RNA is filed under the name uncultured bacterium. RNAcentral describes it as "partial 16S ribosomal RNA". It matches the Rfam family "Bacterial small subunit ribosomal RNA", at positions 28 to 507 of the family's 1533-position model. The record is from RNAcentral.